Molecule: ribosomal RNA, 253 nt
Filed under: uncultured bacterium
Lineage: Bacteria
Description: partial 16S ribosomal RNA
Rfam family: Bacterial small subunit ribosomal RNA
Source: RNAcentral
CACGUAGGGCGCAAGCGUUGUCCGGAAUCAUUGGGCGUAAAGAGCGUGUAGGCGGUCCGGUAAGUCCGCUGUGAAAGUCGGGGGCUCAACCCUCGAAUGCCGGUGGAUACUGUCGGGCUAGAGUGCGGAAGAGGCGAGUGGAAUUCCUGGUGUAGCGGUGAAAUGCGCAGAUAUCAGGAGGAACACCUAUUGCGAAGGCAGCUCGCUGGGACGUAACUGACGCUGAGACGCGAAAGCGUGGGGAGCAAACAGG